CAGUAGCCACGGUAAUACGUAGGUGGCGAGCGUUGUCCGGAAUUAUUGGGCGUAAAGGGAGCGCAGGCGGACAUAUAAGUCCAUCUUAAAAGUGCGGGGCUCAACCCCGUGAGGGGAUGGAAACUGUAUGCCUUGAGUGCAGGAGAGGAAAGCGGAAUUCCCAGUGUAGCGGUGAAAUGCGUAGAUAUUGGGAGGAACACCAGGGGCGAAGGCGGCUUUCUGGACUGUAACUGACGCUGAGGCUCGAAAGCCAGGGGAGCGAACGGGAUUAGAUACCCCAGUAGUCCCUGUCUCUUAUACA
RNAcentral lists this ribosomal RNA (301 nucleotides) under uncultured bacterium. RNAcentral's name for it is "partial 16S ribosomal RNA". It matches the Rfam family "Bacterial small subunit ribosomal RNA", at positions 509 to 809 of the family's 1533-position model. The record is from RNAcentral.